RNAcentral lists this ribosomal RNA (230 nucleotides) under uncultured bacterium. RNAcentral's name for it is "partial 16S ribosomal RNA". It matches the Rfam family "Bacterial small subunit ribosomal RNA", at positions 118 to 346 of the family's 1533-position model. The record is from RNAcentral.
UGAAGAAUCUGUCCAUCGGCGGGGGAUAGCCGGCCCAACGGCCGGGUAAUACCGCGUACGUCGGCGGAAGCGCAUGCUUCUGCCGGGAAAGCAGCAAUGCACCGAUGGAGGACCUCGCGGCCUAUCAGCUUGUUGGCGGGGUAAUGGCCCACCAAGGCGACGACGGGUAGCUGGUCUGAGAGGAUGAUCAGCCACAUUGGGACUGAGACACGGCCCAGACCUCUACGGGA